This 497-nucleotide ribosomal RNA is filed under the name uncultured bacterium. RNAcentral describes it as "partial 16S ribosomal RNA". It matches the Rfam family "Bacterial small subunit ribosomal RNA", at positions 28 to 507 of the family's 1533-position model. The record is from RNAcentral.
GAUGAACGCUGGCGGCGUGCCUAAUACAUGCAAGUCGAGCGAACGGACGAGAAGCUUGCUUCUUUGACGUUAGCGGCGGACGGGUGAGUAACACGUAGAUAACCUACCUAUAAGACUGGGAUAACUUCGGGAAACCGGAGCUAAUACCGGAUAAUAUUUUGAACCGCAUGGUUCAAUAGUAAAAGACGGCCUUGCUAUCACUUAUAGAUGGACCUGCGCUGCAUUAGCUAGUUGGUAAGGUAACGGCUUACCAAGGCAACGAUACAUAGCCGACCUGAGAGGGUGAUCGGCCACACUGGAACUGAGACACGGUCCAGACUCCUACGGGAGGCAGCAGUAGGGAAUCUUCCGCAAUGGGCGAAAGCCUGACGGAGCAACGCCGCGUGAGUGAUGAAGGUCUUCGGAUCGUAAAACUCUGUUAUUAGGGAAGAACAUAUGUGUAAGUAACUGUGCACAUCUUGACGGUACCUAAUCAGAAAGCCACGGCUAACUACGUG